UGCAAUGUGAUGUAGCGAUCGCGGGGGGCCGACUCGUCUGUGGUCAUUUCCACAAACACAUGAAGGAGCUGAUGGAGAUGGCGAGCAUUCUCCCCCUCCUCCAGCUGGCGGCGGACCUCGCGGUCGCCGGGAUAUCUCUCAUGUUUGUUCUCGGGGUCUUCGCCUUCGUCGCCAUCGUCCUCUGCUCCGUCGCUUUCAUCCGCGGCUCGAGGCUCCUUUCGUCAUGAUUUGGGCGCGUCGGUCGCAGAGGUAAUAGGUAGCAAACCCGUGAAGCAUCAUACCUAAUGGUAAUGAUUGAUAAGAACCUGUGAUUACAGAUGCUUUACGUUGAAAUGUGUGCAAGCUUCACAUGCCUCUUAAUCCCAUAUCAGUGCUAGUUCAGAAUCUCAAAAUUCGGACAUAAUGGAAGUCAUUCGACGAUGCAGGAUCUAGCAAGGAUCGAAUCGAAGAAAGUCAUUCUUGCACUCGCUUGAGAUCUGUUGUGGCAUUAAUGGAGAUCAUCAAUCUGUCUCCUUACGGAGACACUGUCCUUCAACUGUCUUAGAUUUGACAAAGAUUUUGACAUCUACCACCUCUACAUUUGGAAUCUUAUAGAGCCCCCGAAUCAUGGAUCAAGCUCUCCAAUUAGCUGGCACUAGUAGCCCCAGGAGCGAGAAUGCAGACUGCAUGCAUAUUAUUUAUUGCUGUUGACUUUGACUUCUCUUUGCCAACUGGUUCUAUUAAAUUGCUGCUUCUCUACAAUCGGAGCAAAUGUACAUUGCAUGUGGUGCCAAGCAAUUGGCAUCACAAGAGUACAUUGCUAUUUGGUACUUCCUGUUUCUUGGUGGCAACACCUUUAAUUAUUUCCAAGUUGGAAGUAAAAUUACACAUUUGC
Musa acuminata AAA Group (dessert banana) is the source of this 874-nucleotide long non-coding RNA. RefSeq lists it as uncharacterized. NCBI's taxonomy places the organism in Eukaryota, Viridiplantae, Streptophyta, Magnoliopsida, Zingiberales, Musaceae. The transcript has 4 exons. The record is from RefSeq and is a predicted model, not a curated record.